The sequence is a ribosomal RNA, 1607 nucleotides long. It matches the Rfam family "Bacterial large subunit ribosomal RNA", at positions 1221 to 2812 of the family's 2925-position model.
UCGUUGGGUAGGGGAGCGUUCUGUAAGCCUGCGAAGGUGGCCUGUGAGGGUUGCUGGAGGUAUCAGAAGUGCGAAUGCUGACAUAAGUAACGAUAAUGCGGGUGAAAAACCCGCACGCCGGAAGACCAAGGGUUCCUGUCCAACGUUAAUCGGGGCAGGGUGAGUCGACCCCUAAGGCGAGGCCGAAAGGCGUAGUCGAUGGGAAACAGGUUAAUAUUCCUGUACCUGGUGUUACUGCGAAGGGGGGACGGAGAAGGCUAUGUUGGCCGGGCGACGGUUGUCCCGGUUUAAGCGUGUAGGCUGGUUUUCCAGGCAAAUCCGGAAAAUCAAGGCUGAGGCGUGACGACGAGGCACUACGGUGCUGAAGCAACAAAUGCCCUGCUUCCAGGAAAAGCCUCUAAGCCUCAGGUAACAUCAGAUCGUACCCGAAACCGACACAGGUGGUCAGGUAGAGAAUACCAAGGCGCUUGAGAGAACCCGGGUGAAGGAACUAGGCAAAAUGGUGCCGUAACUUCGGGAGAAGGCACGCUGACACGUAGGUGAAGCGGUUUACCCGUGGAGCUGAAGUCAGUCGAAGAUACCAGCUGGCUGCAACUGUUUAUUAAAAACACAGCACUGUGCAAACACGAAAGUGGACGUAUACGGUGUGACGCCUGCCCGGUGCCGGAAGGUUAAUUGAUGGGGUCAGCGCAAGCGAAGCUCCUGAUCGAAGCCCCGGUAAACGGCGGCCGUAACUAUAACGGUCCUAAGGUAGCGAAAUUCCUUGUCGGGUAAGUUCCGACCUGCACGAAUGGCGUAAUGAUGGCCAGGCUGUCUCCACCCGGGACUCAGUGAAAUUGAACUCGCUGUGAAGAUGCAGUGUACCCGCGGCAAGACGGAAAGACCCCGUGAACCUUUACUAUAGCUUGACACUGAACACUGGUCCUUGAUGUGCAGGAUAGGUGGGAGGCUUUGAAGUGUGGACGCCAGUCUGCAUGGAGCCGUCCUUGAAAUACCACCCUUUAAUGGCUGGUGUUCUAACGUAGACCCGUGAACCGGGUUGCGGACAGUGUCUGGUGGGUAGUUUGACUGGGGCGGUCUCCUCCUAAAGCGUAACGGAGGAGCACGAAGGUUGGCUAAUCCUGGUCGGACAUCAGGAGGUUAGUGCAAUGGCAUAAGCCAGCUUGACUGCGAGCGUGACGGCGCGAGCAGGUGCGAAAGCAGGUCAUAGUGAUCCGGUGGUUCUGAAUGGAAGGGCCAUCGCUCAACGGAUAAAAGGUACUCCGGGGAUAACAGGCUGAUACCGCCCAAGAGUUCAUAUCGACGGCGGUGUUUGGCACCUCGAUGUCGGCUCAUCACAUCCUGGGGCUGAAGUAGGUCCCAAGGGUAUGGCUGUUCGCCAUUUAAAGUGGUACGCGAGCUGGGUUUAGAACGUCGUGAGACAGUUCGGUCCCUAUCUGCCGUGGGCGCUGGAGAACUGAGGGGGGCUGCUCCUAGUACGAGAGGACCGGAGUGGACGCAUCACUGGUGUUCGGGUUGUCAUGCCAAUGGCACUGCCCGGUAGCUAAAUGCGGAAGAGAUAAGUGCUGAAAGCAUCUAAGCACGAAACUUGCCCCGAGAUGAGUUCU